GGCCCUUCCUAACAGUCAUGGACUUACCACUGUAUGCGUACGUCGCGUCGAGCCGUCAAGCUGCUUUGCCGUCAGGCGGGAUGACCGCUUCUGUCGAUCAAAAAAAGAAGAUCAAGGUUCAAACAGCUGGAUGUUGUUACAACGAGGGAUUGUGGAGUAAAGAUGCGAGAGUGAGGGAAAAGGAAGACUGCGCUGAUAUUAGGGGUUUGAAGACAACAAAUGAUGAUAGGGAAAAGAAGUGGUGGUGGUACUGUUGUAUGCUGCCGUGUGGGCAUGAUUGUCGGCUGCAAUCGAGAGCCGAUUAUAAGUGUCCGGUGGUAACAGGCAUGUGGAGGAGCAAGCUAGAAACGAACGGGCUGAAUGAUAAGCGAUUGAAGAAGUAGAUGGAGAGGAGGAAAAUAUUAAUGAACGAUGCUGAUGAACUGUGACUAGCAACAACCAACACGAAGACAUACAUCAUAUUGAACACACAACUGCAAGCCAGAGGGUACACCUGCCUGCCAGCUGGUCCCUGUAGAUAUCAUCCAAUUGAUAGUAUAUAUGUGGUCCGAGCGCAUGGCAAUGACCCUUGGAUCAUUUUGCCUUUUGUUGUCCGUCAUCAACAGGAGGAAGAAGAAGACGGAAGGAAGAACAAGAAGUUUAGCACGUCCCUUCAAAUUGUCAUGGUGACUGAAACUGGAAGCAGCAUGCAACAUACUUCUGUCAAGGUAUGAAUGGCCUUGCCAUUAUAGCAGUAGUGGUGGGCGCGCUACUUUGUGUGUGAAGACGGACCAUGUAACUGUAGAAGUACAGUAAUAAGAGCUUGUUAGUUGUUGUAAUAAGAUGAUAAAAUCCUCUGAUGCUAGUAGUGUCGAUGACUGAUGUCUACAUAUCUUACGUUUCU
RNAcentral lists this small RNA (883 nucleotides) under Cryptococcus neoformans H99. Its description in RNAcentral is "Cryptococcus neoformans var. grubii H99 hypothetical RNA". Lineage: Eukaryota; Fungi; Basidiomycota; Tremellomycetes; Tremellales; Cryptococcaceae. The record is from RNAcentral.